CGACGUGCAUUGACUGGAUGCUGCUGAUGUUGCCGUCUGAAAUGGAGGACACAGUGGAGCAUCUAUUUGUCUUUUGAGGACAGAAACAGCGGGCUAGUUUUAGCUCCUUAUUCUCACAAUGGAAUUAUAACUUAAGCAUGUGGUGGCUUAAAUGUCAAAGAUACCCCCAAAUAUGAAAAGCUUACAUUUUGAGGCCCCCCCCCCCGAUGAUGGUGCUGUUUGGGGAGGUUGAGGAGCCUUUAAGAGGCUCAGCACAGCUGGAGGAAGUAGUUCAGUGGAGGUGGUCCUUCCAUUAUAGUUUGGCUCUGAUUCAUAGGGCCUGUGUGCUUUGUGGUCUGCCCGACUUGAACAGCGUCUGCCUCGGGCUUCUGCUGCCAGAGAUGAAGCAAGUCAUGAUGGCUCAUCUUGAGCCAAAGUAAAUCUUUCCUCCUUUACGGGGGUUUUUAUUCUGUUUCGGUUUUGUUCAGAAGACCAUGAAAGCAUAAGCAGUCAGACGUAUUGAAUCUUCAUGGAGAUGGAAUUACAGGUUUUAAGCCACCUGAUGUGGGUACUUGGGCUUGAACCUGGUCCUCUUCCUCGGGAAGAAGAGAACUGCUGAGCCAUCUUUCCGAUCCCUAUUUACUUUUAUGUGCAUCCUUGGAGUUCAGCCCAGGAUGUUACACUUUUUCUGUUGACAAGUGUGUGCUGCCAUGUGGGUGCUAGGAAUUGGGUCCUCUGGACAAACAGCAGUGCCUUUAGACACCGAGCCAUCUCUCCAGCACCAUGUUUAAAAGUUUUUGACUCUGACAUGGAUACAAAGAUGGAGUAUCAGGAAGAAACCAGAGUUCCGAGAGGUUAAAUAAUGUGCGUGACUGUCAUGGAGCAAGGUCAGGACCUGAGCACAGAGGGUCAAGGCCCACAGGUUGAGAACUGCUACUCUUUACUCCUUUUCAGUGACUCAAUCAUGAUAUCUGCCUGCCCUUCGCUGUUAUAGAUUUUGAGAGAGAAUUCCAGGGCUGUAGUGGAGGAAGUAAAUGACCUUGAGGUUGUCAGUUGAGAGCAGGUUUUGAAUAACUUUCUUCCUGCACACCCCAAAACAACUCUAGUGAGACCAGAUACCCAGACUUUGCUGAAUAGCCAUCACCGUGUUCCCAAGUGCUUCAUAAACCAGCCACACAGUAAAUGACUGGAGAGACUGCAUUUUGAAAUUGGAUUUAGUGGCCAAAAUUGCCUCAUGAGUUCUACUGUGCCAUUUUUUAAAAAGACGUCAUUUAGGGGCUUAUAAUUCACCAUCUGCUUUGAAUCUUAAGGACAGCAGAAGGAGGAGCAGAGAAAGCCAGAGGGCAGUCGUAUUCUCGCCCAUCUCACAACCCCCUUUUCCUUUAUUCAUUAUUAAAUUAGAACUCUUUCCUUGGCCAAUCACCUUGAAGCCGCACGUGCUUACAUGGAUCAGUUGCUGAUGCCUAGGUGGAGUCAGGCUGGAUUGACGGCAGGAUGGCAGGGAGCAGUCCUGCAGCCCUGCCUUCCAAUCAAGCAAUUAUUUACUGCUAGGCCAUCUGUCUUUAUUUUGCAAAGCCACUCGAUCAGACACAGCAGUAUCACCGUGCUCUGAGCGGGUCAUAAAUCGCGUGGUACUUACACAGGGUACUCAAUUGUGACUCACACUCUAUCACUUUGUUUACCACCAGUGCAAUCUGGAUUCUUUGUUGUAAUUGGCAAACUUGCUAAAUACCUCUGGGAUGUGAAAAAUAUGAAAUGUCACAUUUUUUUUUGGUGUGUUGUCAGGCAAUAAAUUAAUUUAUUAAGAAGAAACAUUAGUCAUCAGUACCGGGUGACUUGCCGCAGUGAACGAGUUAUAAUGUUAUGAGCAUCGAUCUUAUUUAUACAAAAAGUUAUUGUCGUAUGAGUCUGUGACACAGUAUAGAAACGACUGCCAUUAGCUGGUAAAUUACCAGGAAAGCUGAUUUCUACUCAGUGGUUUAUUAACUGUAGUAUAUGGGCUCUGAAUUGCUAAUGUUUCCCUUAAAUUAUAAUCUGUGAUGACACUGCAGUGCCCAUGUUGGGAAAGCUAUGAUGAUAAUCAUUAACAUACUGUAAUGCAAUACUGAAGAUUUAUCAGGCUCUUAUUAAGCCCUACAUUACAGUAUAAUAUAAUGAACUGCAAGUUUGUUUUUUCUAAUCCAAAAUCUACUAUGAGGCUUGUGCCAUAAAUUACUGAAGCUUCAUAACAAAGCAUGGGGCUGUGGCAUCAAGCUAAUUUCUGUCAUUACGUUUGUUUGUUUUUAUCUCACAUGUUCUCUGUGUAUUUGUGUGACAUUGCAUUUUUGUUUACCUAGACAGUUGGUACUUAUUUUAUUAACAUCUAACUGUAUUUUCCCAUCUUAGUUAAGAAGUAGAAAGUAUCCAAACAUCAAAGCUGAUCUAAACACUACUUGUUCUUUGGGAAAUUUAAAGGAGCUGUAGUUCAGGAUUCUUUGAGAAACACUACAUAUUCUAGUAGUGGCUUCAUGGGAAUAAACUCGCAGUACAUUCCGGUGCCUGGAGCAGUGAGAGGUAGUAGAGGUGAUGUUUUCAGCUCCAUCACAUAUAUCAGCUUGAAGAGACUAACAUAAUACACAAAGCAAAUGCACAAACUAAAUGCAAGCUGCAUGUUUUUCAUUCUUGCUUUUAGAUAGAAAACAUAACGGCAGCAAAGCCAGAAAAAAAAGUCAAAGUAGAUAGGACACAGGACUCCGAGGCUACAAGGUGGAUCUGACCAGGAAGCCUUUUUCCUGAGGAUUAGCUUUUAUAGUACCAGAAGGUUCUAUGGAAGCUUCCAUAGGAGGGAAGCAGUUCAUAGCCUUACCCAGCUCUGAUGUCCAUGAACUACAACAAUGACCAGCAUGGUAAGAUGCAAUAGUGGCACUUAUAGCUUGGCAGUAACCAACAGCUCUCUAAUUGGACUUAAGGCCAGCUCAACAUGAGGGAGACCAUGCCUAGUUCUGGAGACCUGCCAGCUACCCACGACUCGUGAAGUCAUGGAUCUUAGAGGAGAACAUACCACUGCCACUUUACUAAAGCAGCAACAUCCUUAACUGAAUUCUAAGGGCUUAUACUCAGGGCCUUAAAAGAGUAGUCUUCAUUCCUCAUCCAAGAAACUUCUCUUUCCAGUAGAUGGGGAGAAUGACAGAAACCAUACCUGACCAAGAUGCAGAGAAGAACUGACCGCGUGUUGCCUAGCCCCAACUGGCACAUCUACAACACAGCUCAUGCAUCUAAGGCUCAGGGGACAGCAUGGCAGAAGUGGCAUAAUGAUUGUAAGAGCUAGAGAACCAGGAAAUCUGCUGUGGGAGAGUGUCUCCUAGACAUGACCGGCAAGUUUUUCCUGUGACAACUCAACAAUAUGGCUGCCUAAGCAAGACCUGAACAAGGAUUCCAACACUAUUAUUCUAGAGAAAUCUAGACUAUGUAUAUAUACCCUUGCAAUUAAAAAAAAUUAGUUUCUUAUCUUACUAUUUUGUGGGGUUUUUGGACAUUUUCAAACAUAUAUAUCAUUGUGUCUUGCUCAUAUUUGUACCCCCUGACUACCCUCUACUAUCUGUCCUGCCCUCUGUUACUGGUUCCCUUUCUACCUCCAAAUAUACCCACUUAUGCUUCAAUGUCACAUAUAUGUAUGCAUAUGUAUACAUAUUUAAAUCUAGAUUUCACAUAUGAAAGAAAAUGAGAUUCCUUCCUGCAUUCUAGGCCUCUUUGAGUCAUGCCCCAAAUGAAUGAAAUAGUAUCAACUUUAUAACCCAUGUUUGACCAUUAUAUCCUCACUGAAAUUCUUCUGAGCAUUCUUGUUGGUGACCAACUAUGAUCUGCCUUUUUCAGUAUGGUAGAAGAAGCUCAGGGAGCCCCUAAGAGUAAGAGUCAGUCAUACUUUCCCCUUUGGUGGUACUAGUCUGCUCUGACUGUGCAUGUACCCACCCCUUCCCAGUUCUCAUCUCAGCCUUUCCUCACACUCACCUCUGGGCAGGAGAUGCUCGUUCCCAAGUCUUACUAGUCUUCUCUCCCUCCACAUUGCUUACCUAACUCAUACUUAUCCGCUAAACUCCAAACCAUAUUUCUUCCAGGAAGCCUUUUUGGGAUUAUAUAUGCCUUCUUUUCUACAAUUUCUCAUUCAUAUGUAACAAUCACAGUAAUAUCUAUUUCCCCACUACAGUGCCAGUUUCUUAAGUGUAUAAACCAGGAUUAUUAAUUAUUAUUAACAUAUUAUUAUUAUUAUUAUCAUCAACACUAACAUCUUCACCUACACUCUGCAUAUUACACGACAGGCAUCCAUCGCAAAAUAUCCCCUCAUCUCAGUGUCAUUAGAGGACUCCAUUAAGUUCCAUUGAAGAGGAUAUUUGUGUUCUCUCUGUAUCUUUCAGAAAUACCUCUUAUAUGCUCUCCUUACCUCAUAUACCAACAGAAUAUGUUUACAUUCUAAGACUAAACAACUCUACCAAAUUAUCUAUAGAGAAGAAACAGUUGCUAGUCAGAAUGAGUCUUUCUGCCUGUGUGGUAGUUAAGUGAGUGAUUCACAGGCAUGACACAUUCAGAUUCAUUUCAUUCAUGUCUUGUCACCUAAAGGCAAAUACAUGCUUUGCCAUGGGAAAAACAAAAACAGCUUCAUUUUUUGAAACAUCUUGCAAAAAUUAAUUUGGCAGGCUACUUUACUGGAGGUGUUUAUUUACCUCCAUGCUGUGGUAUUGAAGUAAGAAAAAUCAUUAACUAGCCUGAGUUGGUCUACAUCUCUGAUAACCAAGGCAAAGGCUGCAUGUGUUUUCCAUGAGAAGGCACAGAGGGAGCACACACACCAUGGGCUAAGGCAUAAUCAUUUUAUUUACACUGAGCGCUGUUCUGAUCCAACCACCUAAAACAAUUCACCAUCUGUUGAGUGGAUAAGGAAAAUAUUUACCUUGUACCUGGAGAACCGGAGA
Molecule: long non-coding RNA, 4922 nt
Organism: Mus musculus (house mouse)
Lineage: Eukaryota; Metazoa; Chordata; Mammalia; Rodentia; Muridae
Product: predicted gene 14002
Exons: 4
Source: RefSeq, a predicted model, not a curated record